GUGUGAUUUUAGUGGCAGACAGAGAGGCCUUGACAGGAUUUGCGAUGCCAUCAAUGCCAGGAAUUGCGUUGUGUGUCACAGAACCUAAUAGCCUUUCCCCGUGCAAGCCGUGAUUAUCGGUGGCUCAGGCAUGUCACUUUGGCACAGACCCACACGGGGCUGUCACAGGGCAUGUGUUGGGGUUAGUGUGUCAGGUGCUGGGGCUGAGAAGUGUCUCCUGUGGAAUUUGGGGGAAAUGGGAGCGGCCCCAGCUGAUGGUGUGGGUUGCCAUGCGACAGGACCGCUGUCUCCAAGUGCAGCACAGACCUGGCCUGCUCGCUGUGCUCCCCGUGGGCAGAGGCUGCGGCUUCCCUGCCUCAGCGAACCAGAGGGAGACAGGGGUUAGGUUCUUCUGUCACACCCAUCCUGGCAGCAGCUGGCUCCCAGGAAAGAGGAUGGUGUGCCCUAUCCAUCCUGUGGUGCUGUGCAUGGAGAGAGACCCUGGCAUGCCCUCAGCACUACUAGACCAUGCAGUGCAGAAGAUGCUGGUGGGGGAGCAGCUUUUGUACACCAAUGAUGAUGCUGUCAGCAAUCAGGACAAGCCCUUGCAAACAGUCUGCAAUGAUGCUGGGAUCUGCAAAUGGUGCUCUCAAAUCAGAGUAAGAUUAGCUGGAAUUCACUUCAGUAAAUACAGUAAAACAAAAGGCUGCUGUUAGAGCUAGGGCUACUUUGACUUCAGGAUUUUAGUUUCUACUUUCCAUGUCAUUCCAAAUUGGUUUGUCCUUAUGCAUAGUGACCACAAAAACAGGCUGAGAGACCAAGGGCUAUCUGAGCUAAUACUUGUUGACAUAUUUUUAAAUAUGAGUAUAGAGCUCUUUCCAAAAGGAAUCAAAAGCUUCUGGCAAGUUUGAAAACAGGGAAGAUAACUGAUACUGCAUUGUAAGUAUUCAAAUUAAGACUUCCUCUACUCCUUCAUAAACUCUUCUAGAAACAUGUCUAUGCUCAAAAGGCCACAGGCUAUUUUCAUCUGUAUUUCAUUAUAAAAAGAAGAUUGAGAAGUGACUCAAUUACAUUGUAUAAGCACCUUCACAGAAAGAAAAUGCUGGGUGCUAAAGAGCUCUCUCACCUAGCAGGGAAAUGUCUGAAAACUAACGUUGAAUUUGAAAAUAAAGCAAAUGUUUCCAAGACCCUGCUGGAACUCUGCUAGGAUUCUCAGUGAUUUCCAGUUGUCUUCAUUCCUUCAGACCAAGACAACAUGUUUUCCUGAUCAACAUUCUUUAGUAGAAGGUGUUAAUCAAAGUACAGGUAUUGAGCUUGAAUGAAAGGGUAUUUUAGUGGUCUAUUAGCUUUUGCUGUGUAAAUUGGGAUAGAAGAUGUAAUGGUCCUUUCUUGCCUCAACAUCUCAGUUGGUAUGAUACUGCCUUGUCCAUCAUAGGUGAACUUCAACAAAUAUUUGGAGUUGUUUUGAAUGGGAGAAGAAACUAUUGGAUCCUUGUUUUUUUUCCUAGCAUUUCAGUUGCAUAACAAAGCAUUGUCUCCAUCAGAAGAACUCUGCAAUUAAGGAAUUUAACAUUUACUUCCUCUCAUUCCCAAACAUCUGGUAGCUCCUAUUAUUGCUAUAUUAAGAGUUAAUUUUUCAAGUCUGAGUGUGUGCAAUAUUACAAAUACACUGCAGCUGUGUGUGCCCAGUGGUGGCUGUGUUCAGUGUUGCGUGUGCAGGAGGGAUAGUAACCGCCUGUGCAGGCGCUUGGACAAGGGCACGUCUGUCUCGCACAGACAGCUGAGUAUCCAUUGCUACUGAAGAUCUGCCUUGGUUGGAGUCAGAGCGUGUGGCAGUCUGGGGGAAGGCCUUCUAAGCUGUUUUAGAUGAGUAAAAUAGGAAAGUGCUAACUAGUUAAGCUUAUUAGCUGGGCAAUAUUACAUCACACCAAUAUUGAAAAUAGAGAUCCUGUGCUAUAGCCCAACUGCUUGAGCACGGCUUGAGUGCUGCUCUUCUGCUGUGACUCUUUGGAUGUGGCCAGCUGCAUAUAGCGGUAUUUGAAUUCAUCAGUGUUUCAAAAGAACAUUAAAAUUUAACAAGUACAUUUAACUAAAAAAUCUAUAUCUUAAUAGCACGGAGGUAGUGAUAAAAGGGAGGCAAUUCAGGCUAAGAUGUUGCAUUAACUUCCCUGUGAAUGGACCUUUCAGACAGUGUGGAGCCAGGCUGAAGUCAAUGAACUAAGGCCGGUUUCUUCACCCAAUGCAGCCUGUGCCUCAGCUCAGACGGCUUCAGAGCCUCUUCUUUGGCUUUAACAAGAAUUUUAUUUUUGUCAUAUUUUUUUCUUUAAAUAACACAAAACUAAAAACAC
Molecule: long non-coding RNA, 2327 nt
Filed under: Pavo cristatus (Indian peafowl)
Lineage: Eukaryota; Metazoa; Chordata; Aves; Galliformes; Phasianidae
Description: lncRNA (ENSPSTG00000018175.1)
Source: RNAcentral